GAUCCGCCCAAGAACCGUGUGCGAAUCUAGAGGCCUAAAUCGUGCCAGUUCACUAGGGUGGUUCUCGCAUACACCCAAAGGCAAUUUAUUAGACUUAAACCCAUCUACAACGGUUCCGCCGUAGUUAAGGGGAAAUUCUGGAAUACUUUGCCUGGAUCGUAUUGCCUUAGUGCCGGCGAACGUUUCAAUUGAGUUUCUGGCCCUAUUCAACUGUUGGUAAAGGUAAUUGGCUUACCCAAGGUUGCAAACGGUUAACGGGGAAUCAAGGGUUCGAUUCCGGAGAGGGAGCCUGAGAAACGGCUACCACAUCCAAAGGAAGGCAACAGGCGCGCAAAUUACCCAAUCUAGACAGUAGGAGGUGGUGAAGAGAAUUACUAAUGGUGGUCUAACAGAUCACUCGCUUGGAAUGAACGUAACUUAAGAAAUUCGAUGAGAAACAACUGGAGGGCAAGUCCUGGUGCCAGCAGCCGCGGUAAUUCCAGCUCCAGUAGUUUGCUUUAAAGUUGUUGCGUUUAAAACGCUCGUAGUUGGAUCACGCAGCGGUGGUGAGUAAUCUUUUGCGACGGGAUGGUAAAUGAGCCCGUUUUGCGACGGCCAUGAAUCAAACUAAGCAAAAGGUAAAAAUGCUGAUCAUCGCUAGUUGCACGUGAGAUAGAUUGUUGGCCUUUGAUGUGCCGAUAUUCUGGUCUUGCGGAGUGUGCCUUGAAUAAAACAGAGUGCUUAAAGCAGGUCGUUGCCUGAAUGUUAUAGCAUGGAACGAACAAUCGUGUUUAUGUGUACGCCUACUGAUGGUAGCGAGCCUUUGGUUUGUUGUUAUUGGAGACGUGCACGGCACCCACCAAAAUAUGGCUGUUGGUUCCAUAUACGGUGAUGAUUAACAGGAGCGGUUGGGGGCAUCGGUAUUUGGCCGCGAGAGGUGAAAUUCUUAGACCGGCCAAGGACUAACAAAUGCAAAGGCACUUGUCUAGACCGUUUCCAUUAAUCAAGAACGAAAGUGGGAGGUUCGAAGACGAUCAGAUACCGUCCUAGUUCCCACCGUAAACUAUGCCGACCUGGGAUCAGUUCAGAGAUGUUACAAGCUCUGGAUUGGUCCCCCUGGGAAACCUGAAGUUUUUCGGUUACGGGGAAAGUAUGGUCGCAAGGCUGAAACUUAAAGGAAUUGACGGAAGGGCACCACCCCAGGGGUGAACUCCCAAA
This 1197-nucleotide ribosomal RNA is filed under the name Thelohanellus sp. 1 2015. Its description in RNAcentral is "bacterial SSU rRNA". It matches the Rfam family "Eukaryotic small subunit ribosomal RNA", at positions 166 to 1188 of the family's 1831-position model. The record is from RNAcentral. Lineage: Eukaryota; Metazoa; Cnidaria; Myxozoa; Bivalvulida; Myxobolidae.